Pongo abelii (Sumatran orangutan) is the source of this 149-nucleotide unclassified non-coding RNA. It matches the Rfam family "Metazoan signal recognition particle RNA". From Rfam's summary of the family: The signal recognition particle (SRP) is a universally conserved ribonucleoprotein. NCBI's taxonomy places the organism in Eukaryota, Metazoa, Chordata, Mammalia, Primates, Hominidae. The record is from Ensembl.
GCCAGGUGUGGUGGUGCACUCCUGUAAUCCCAGCUACUUCGGAGGCUGAGGCAUGACAAUCACUUGAGCCCAGGAGGGCAGAGGUUGCAGUGAGCCAAGGCUGCAUCACUGCACUUCAGCCUGGGCAACAAAGUGAGACCUUGUCUCAA